This 517-nucleotide unclassified non-coding RNA is filed under the name Fusarium oxysporum. RNAcentral describes it as "sequence contains ITS1, 5.8S rRNA gene, ITS2". The stretch from base 164 to 317 matches the Rfam family "5.8S ribosomal RNA". The record is from RNAcentral. Lineage: Eukaryota; Fungi; Ascomycota; Sordariomycetes; Hypocreales; Nectriaceae.
GCGGAGGGAUCAUUACCGAGUUUACAACUCCCAAACCCCUGUGAACAUACCACUUGUUGCCUCGGCGGAUCAGCCCGCUCCCGGUAAAACGGGACGGCCCGCCAGAGGACCCCUAAACUCUGUUUCUAUAUGUAACUUCUGAGUAAAACCAUAAAUAAAUCAAAACUUUCAACAACGGAUCUCUUGGUUCUGGCAUCGAUGAAGAACGCAGCAAAAUGCGAUAAGUAAUGUGAAUUGCAGAAUUCAGUGAAUCAUCGAAUCUUUGAACGCACAUUGCGCCCGCCAGUAUUCUGGCGGGCAUGCCUGUUCGAGCGUCAUUUCAACCCUCAAGCACAGCUUGGUGUUGGGACUCGCGUUAAUUCGCGUUCCCCAAAUUGAUUGGCGGUCACGUCGAGCUUCCAUAGCGUAGUAGUAAAACCCUCGUUACUGGUAAUCGUCGCGGCCACGCCGUUAAACCCCAACUUCUGAAUGUUGACCUCGGAUCAGGUAGGAAUACCCGCUGAACUUAAGCAUAUCA